Molecule: long non-coding RNA, 1032 nt
Organism: Juglans regia (Persian walnut)
Lineage: Eukaryota; Viridiplantae; Streptophyta; Magnoliopsida; Fagales; Juglandaceae
Exons: 3
Source: RefSeq, a predicted model, not a curated record
GAUAUGGUUUUUUCGCAUGGCUGACGAAGCAGUCACCGCUUGGAUUGUUUGGCAUUUGUUAAUCUCGGAUUUGUAGAAAUUGGAUAGUCUUUCACGCUCUCUCCACGUCUACCACCGCUUCCACCAUUUGCAGUACUAUUAUCAGAUUAGUAAAAGUUAAAUAAUUUUUUUUUUGUUCUUAUCCUUCUGUUCUGCUGAUUUCACCCCUUCUCGAUUCAUAUAAAAGCAAAACUCAUUUUUACUUUCUACUCCAUUUCCUGUUACGUCCUACACCUUUAAAAUCAAAAUCCUCUCACUCACAUCGCACAAACUUUCAGUGGUUUAGUGUUGAUAGAUUAGUUCCUCGUUUUGAAGUUCCAAAGAUAACUAGCGAUCAAGAUUCAUGGUUAGAGGGAAAUUUACAGUAUCUGAUCUGCAUCAACCAUUUUUUUACUUAUCAUGUGCAAAGUGUAGUAAAACCACUGGAUACGAGAAAGAUGAAGAGUUUUUAUGCUAUAAUUGCAAAGAACUAACAACCGCACAGCCAAGAUCUCAUGUCUAUUUAGAGGCAUUCGAUGACAGUGGCUCGAUCGCAGUAGUAGCCUUCGAACCUACAGUAGAACGAAUUCUUGAUUGUACAACAACAGAUAUUAUACAGCAUGCAGAGCAAGUAAAAUUUAUACUUUCAGACACAUUUAACAAGUUUAACAAAUCAUUUUUUUAUAUGUUUUUGUCAUUACCGGAGGAUCAUUCGUACAUAGAGAACAUUACAAAUAGGAUUCAAGAUAAAGAGUGAAUGAUUGUUUUGGGUGCAUCUAUGAAUGAAUUUGGGAAAUUAUGCCAAAACAAACUUAACGUAUUAUCUGUCAAAGACAUACCUGGGACAGCAAAAUAGCUAUUUCAAAAAUUUUCUUCUAGACUUCCGGUUAUUAUAAUGUAUAACUAUAAGAAAUUCAUAUGUAAUUAUGAGAUAGCUCUUACUUUUUAUUUGUAAUUAUGAUGAUAACGCAUUAGCUUCAAUAGUCACUUUUUUAUGUACAAUAAAACAUUGUG